Molecule: long non-coding RNA, 582 nt
Organism: Pseudophryne corroboree (corroboree frog)
Lineage: Eukaryota; Metazoa; Chordata; Amphibia; Anura; Myobatrachidae
Exons: 4
Source: RefSeq, a predicted model, not a curated record
UGAGCUGACGUCAUCCGGCUACGGAGGCUCGAACGAGUCUAAUUUGCCCAGACGGAAGCUUUGCCGCCGGUACUCCGUUUGCGCUGAAAUGUAGAAUAGCCAUGAAGAGGAGCAGCCAGAAGACACAGGAGAAGGAAGUUUGACUGGCAUUCUCAGGACACCCAUCAGCGGCAGCAGCAGCGACGCAGCAGGAGGAGAGCUACAGAUAUAUCCGAUUUGAUUGGAUUUCGCAUUGCUCCAACUUCCUCCCCAAUGAUGAAAUGGAUGGCAUGGCAUGAAUAUAUCACUGAUGGUGGGGGCACUUCCCCUGCCCCCUAAUCUACUCGGAUUACACUUCCACCUUGAGUACUGACCUUGAUAGCCCUAUGCCUUCUAUUGAUUCUUUGUCUAUUGAUAUGUCUCCUUGUUUGAUCCUUGUCCAUCUGUAUAUUUCUCAUGAUAUCUCUGUAUUUUAUUUUUUAUUUUGCCUAUAUUGGACUCAUAUAUUUGACUUUUUGAUAUUUUUGAUAUUUGUAUGUAUGCAUCCCGUUCCCCUGGUUCUAUGUACCUCCCUAUCCCCUCCCAUUUUCUUUUCUGUACCCC